Molecule: unclassified non-coding RNA, 1995 nt
Filed under: Hevea brasiliensis (rubber tree)
Lineage: Eukaryota; Viridiplantae; Streptophyta; Magnoliopsida; Malpighiales; Euphorbiaceae
Source: RNAcentral
AUUGCAACAUGUAACUUCCUGGGUUUUCACAAAAAAGGGAUGGUAACUUUCCAUUAGUGCACAGGUAUUUUUUUAGGCAUGUUAGUUUUCAUUUUAUGAAUUAAAAUUUGUCCACUUGAUAGAAAAUCUCCAAAUUGUCAGCAUUCCUCGUGUCAUUGACCCGCAUGGCUUCAAAAUAAAUAUGAAGAGAAUGGUUGCAAGUUUGCAACCACCAAACAAACUGCUAAAUGUUUACAAGUGGAAAACCAAAGAUCUAGUGGAUUAAAACUACAACCGGAUGGGUGAUUCAUUUAGCCUUAUGUUGAAGCAGCGGCUGCAACAACCAAAUUUGAGUGAAGAUUUUUACCGGAAGCAGCUCUCCCACGCCCAAUUCCUGUCCUUUGCCCUUUAAAUCCCCUCAUAGCCUCUUCCAUAUCACGGCCUGAUUCCGGUACUACAUGCUUUUGAAAUCCUGAUAGGUUCUUCUCAUCCUCCCCGCUCUGGUGUUGUAUCGUGAAGUCCAGCUAUCAGUUGAAUCGGUUGAGUUGGGUUCCCAUGUAGAGGUAGAAUAUUCCCCCCAAUGCUGUAGGCUGCCACCCACAAAACUGUUGCUGCCUGAGGAUUCUUGCUCAUCCAUAUCUUCUCCACUCGACUUGCCGCCCCUCCUUACUGUCACAUACUUGUGGAAGCUUGGCUCCAUUAUAUCAUCACUUACUAGGACCUCUGAUUCCACAAAAGGGUCUUUGGCCUCUGUUAAUUUCUUCCCAACAAGAUUAGCACCCGUUGUGGUAGGGCUUCUUCUAUCCUCAACAAAUGCACAUGAAAGGUUGGAGCUUGUAGUGGAGUUGAGAUCAGCAACUGCUUCAAGAAUGGAGCAGGCCUUGGUGACACAUAGUGGAACUGAGAAUGAAGGGGGGGUCGUGGUGUUCUUUUGGUGAAAAUUCUGUAUGUCUUCAAGCAAUAGCGCAGUAUAUGAUGGGUUGGGAUUCAACAAAGUUUCAGGAUUGAAGGCUAGGUCUCGAGAUCUCCUGGCUGACCUACUUCUUGUUAGUGUUUGAGGCUUAAAAUCAGCUCCCGAGGCUACCAACGUGCUCAUUGGUAGCUGUACUUUAGCCUCUUCCGCAAUGACUGGUGCUUCUUUCACUUUGUUGCUGCUUCCUCUGCAAUUAGUCCCUUCAGCAACUGGCCUAUUAUUUGUCUCAGCAUUUGGCUUCUGCAUUUGAGCCUGAUUUACAACACUGAUAGAUUCCUUUACAGCCGCUUGUCCUUCAAUUUCUUUGUUUCUGGUUUGUACUCUGCUGCCGCUAUUGUUGUUGUUGACACAGACAGUUUUGUUGUUGCCAGUUGCUUGUGCAUACACAAGGGAAUUUGGAUCGAUUUCACUCAAUGGGUUUCUCCUGUAAGGAGAUUGAUCUGCUUUCCGUGAAGAAUUGCGACUAAGUGAUGGCUGCUGCUGAUUAUUCUCGUUAGAACCCUUAGCAUUUGUUCUCGCCGGGGACUGAGAACGGGGAGAUGCCGCACCCCUUGAACCAGCCAAGGCUGCGUCUCCAACAUUUCUCUUCACAGAGAUUCGUUUAAUGGCGUUAGCCGUUUGUGAUUCCUCGCCAUUGUUGCUUCUAUCCAUUGUCAGGGAAGAAACUGUAGCAGGAACUGAGACCAUUUUUCCAGGCCUAUUACCAGUAUUAGUUGUAUUAUUAGCAUUACUAGUACCAAUAGAAUUAGCAGUUGGGGUAGUUUCUGAUCUUCUACCCGGUGAUUGACUCACUCUUCUCCCACUACUACUGCUACCACUUCCUCUCUCUCGACUGCCAGAGCGCUGCUCUCUUUCCCUGCUGGGUGUCCUCCUCCUUCCUUGUGAAGAAGAAGAAGGAGAAGGCCUACGCGAAUGGCGGUGUCGUUGGCGAUGCUGCCUUCUCUCCGAGCCCGUCUCAUCAUCUUCAUCAUAAUUGCAAUUCGAGCCGCUGCCUCUCUUUUUGGCAUCAUAAUUAGCAGUAGGAGCAACCUCAAGAUCUUGGU